GACGAACGCUGGCGGCGUGCUUAACACAUGCAAGUCGAACGGUAAGGCCCCUUCGGGGGUACACGAGUGGCGAACGGGUGAGUAGCACGUGAGCAACCUGCCCUUGACUUUGGGAUACCAGCUGGAAACAGCUGCUAAUACCGGAUAUGACCUCUUCUCUCAUGGGUUGAGGUGGAAAGCUCCGGCGGUCAGGGAUGGGCUCGCGGCCUAUCAGCUUGUUGGUGAGGUAAUGGCUCACCAAGGCUUCGACGGGUAGCCGGCCUGAGAGGGCGACCGGCCACACUGGGACUGAGAUACGGCCCAGACUCCUACGGGAGGCAGCAGUGGGGAAUAUUGCACAAUGGGCGCAAGCCUGAUGCAGCAACGCCGCGUGCGGGAUGACGGCCUUCGGGUUGUAAACCGCUUUCAGUAGGGACGAAGCUAACGUGACGGUACCUACAGAAGAAGGACCGGCUAACUACGUG
RNAcentral lists this ribosomal RNA (464 nucleotides) under uncultured bacterium. Its description in RNAcentral is "partial 16S ribosomal RNA". It matches the Rfam family "Bacterial small subunit ribosomal RNA", at positions 28 to 507 of the family's 1533-position model. The record is from RNAcentral.